RNAcentral lists this ribosomal RNA (452 nucleotides) under uncultured organism. Its description in RNAcentral is "partial 16S ribosomal RNA". It matches the Rfam family "Bacterial small subunit ribosomal RNA", at positions 332 to 800 of the family's 1533-position model. The record is from RNAcentral.
UACACUCCUACGGGAGGCAGCAGUGGGGAAUAUUGGACAAUGGGCGCAAGCCUGAUCCAGCCAUGCCGCGUGAGUGAUGAAGGCCCUAGGGUUGUAAAGCUCUUUCACCGGUGAAGAUAAUGACGGUAACCGGAGAAGAAGCCCCGGCUAACUUCGUGCCAGCAGCCGCGGUAAUACGAAGGGGGCUAGCGUUGUUCGGAUUUACUGGGCGUAAAGCGCACGUAGGCGGACUAUUAAGUCAGGGGUGAAAUCCCGGGGCUCAACCCCGGAACUGCCUUUGAUACUGGUAGUCUUGAGUUCGAUAGAGGUGAGUGGAAUUCCGAGUGUAGAGGUGAAAUUCGUAGAUAUUCGGAGGAACACCAGUGGCGAAGGCGGCUCACUGGCUCGAUACUGACGCUGAGGUGCGAAAGCGUGGGGAGCAAACAGGAUUAGAAACCCUAGUAGUCCCAUGA